This 286-nucleotide ribosomal RNA is filed under the name uncultured bacterium. Its description in RNAcentral is "partial 16S ribosomal RNA". It matches the Rfam family "Bacterial small subunit ribosomal RNA", at positions 28 to 313 of the family's 1533-position model. The record is from RNAcentral.
GACGAACGCUGGCGGCGUGCUUAACACAUGCAAGUCGAGCGGUAAGGCCCUUUCGGGGGUACGACGAGCGGCGAACGGGUGAGUAACACGUGGGUGACCUGCCCUCAGCUCUGGGAUAAGCCUGGGAAACCGGGUCUAAUACUGGAUAUGACUCCAUGACGCACGCUGGUGGGGUGGAAAGCCUUGUGCGGCUGAGGAUGGGCCCGCGGCCUAUCAGCUUGUUGGUGGGGUGANGGCCUACCAAGGCGACGACGGGUAGCCGGCCUGAGAGGGCGACCGGCCACAC